Molecule: long non-coding RNA, 1588 nt
Organism: Vidua macroura (Pin-tailed whydah)
Lineage: Eukaryota; Metazoa; Chordata; Aves; Passeriformes; Viduidae
Exons: 2
Source: RefSeq, a predicted model, not a curated record
GCUGUCCCCCCGUCCCCAUCCACCCGGCUCCCUGCAGAGCUGUGUGCGUUUUUGGAGGCUCUGGAGCAGCGCUCCGCUGAGGCCUCGCCGGUGCAGAGAGCAGCGAGCGGGGAACUCCGCAAUCCACGUAAACACCUCAAGUGCCCACGGGAAUGUCACCCGUCCAUAAAGCACCUCAAAUGGCCAUACAGUUCACUGUAGCUGUUGGGAGAUUCUGUAAAAUCUUCACUUUCUUGUGGGAGCUUCUGUUCAGAACUGUCAACGGAACAUCAUCCCCCACGCUGAAAUAGAUCUUUACUCAUCCUGCGGGAUGCUAAUUCAAAAUACUCAAUAUCAUUUUGGCUCAUACUGGCAGCAAAGAGAAGCAUGAGUGAAGGAGGGGGUUUAUGGUUUGGUGUGUGUGAGCGCUGGAAGGAGCUGCACUCGAAUGUGUUUGCUCUGUGAAGUUUUGCUGUGUGUAAAAUGGCAGUGCUGGGAGGCCCCACAGGGAAUUCCAAUUCCAAUUGAAUUCGAAUUCCAAUUAGCCAUCAUUAGGUCCUUUUGCCUUGUGAUGGGCUCCAGAAAAGCAUCAGAGUGCAGGGAAACAAAUGACUCCAAACUUAAUUAUACAACCAACCCUCGCUGUUUUGGGGUUGGAAAAUGGAAAUAUUCCUUUAGCGUUGAUGCAGUGAUCUUUGCCCUUUGUUAAGGAAUGAAUGGCCACGGAAAUGAGAGUUAAAUCCAACUUUUCUCCUGCUAAAUAUUUCCCAACACAAUUCACUGAAGCGAGAGCAGAAAUUCUACAGGCUUCUAGAACUGAAAACACUCUGCCAGGAUAAGCUCCCCUUAAUAAAGCCCUGGGAUUCUGGCUGUGUGGUGCUGGAAUUCAGGAAAAUCAGCUGAUUUCCAACGAGCUGGGACAGCUCUCUAGUGUAUCCUGCCCACUCGUUCUCAUGGCUCGUUUCCCUGGAAUUCUGGUGUGCAUCAUUUGUGUAGUUCCAUCAGGAGGGUUCAUAUUCCUUACUCUCCCCGGAGAACAGAUGAAAUAAUUACAGUUUGCUUCUGAGCAACAUCCAACUUCAGUCUGAGAUCCUGAGGACUUGGAGAACUUCUGCUGCUGUGGAUCAUUUUGUGCUCAGCUUUAGUUUUUUUCUCUCCUCACACCGAGUCCCCACGCUUCUGAUCUUGCUGUUAUUAAAAUGUGAUGGGAAUGAGAGAUUUUCCAGCACUUCACUGAGAGGCUGAGGUGUUCCAGCAUUUGUCAGGAGUGCUUUUCAUCCCUGAGUGCCUGCAUGGAUCUCCCUAAGCACGGGGAACUUCUGGGAUCAUCUUCCCCAUUGUGAAGACCAGCCAUGAGCAAGAGGAGACAGAUUGAUCCUCAGAGUCCUGGAAUAUCUUCCGCUCUCCUUUUUCUUCCAGGGCUGUUGACCUGCAGCUGACAAAAGAGACAAAACCAAAACAGCAGAGACAAAACCCGUGCAAAUCCACCCCGCAGGCUGGAGGUGCAAUGUUUCCAAAACUGUCCAGGGAAGCCAAUGGUUAGUUGUAAAUUUGUCAACGUAAAACAAGGCAAUCGAAAUAAAAAGCAAAUAAAAGACUUCAAACUUCA